CGCGGUGCGCCCCUGCUGCCGGGCGGCCGCGGCGGAGCGCACAUUGUUCUAGCGGCCCGUCCCUCUCUCCUCCCUCCUCCGCCUCCCGUCCCUCUCUCCUCCCUCCCCAGGUCCCUCCUUCCCUCGUCACCGGCCGCUGUAUAAAUCCCCUGCCCCGGCGGAUCCCCCCACCGCGGGAGACCCUGGUACUUUGGCCCCCGGGGCGGGAUCCCGCCGCCGCCUGCCCACCACUGGGACUUCGCGCUCCCGCCGCUGACCCCUCCUCGCUCUCUCCCCCCCUCCUCCCUCGCACAGUUCCCACCGGCCUCUUCCCUUCGCUACUGCGGGGCCACGAUGUCGGAAAAACGCGUCGAGGAGACACCGGCGGAGCUGAGUGCUAAGGAAAGGAAAGAAAAGAAGGAAAAACUUGAGGAGAAAGCAGUCCACAAAGAAAAGAAGAAGGAGAUAGUAGAGGAUGAGGAAAACGGAGCUGAUGAGGAUGAUGAAGAAAAUCCUGAUGAUGUGGAUGAAGAAGAAGGUGGUGAUGAGGAUGAAGAAGGAGACGAGAAUGGGCAAGAGCAGGAUGGUCACGCAGAAAAACGAUCUGCAGAGGAGGAAGAGGAUGAAGCGGAUCCAAAGAGACAGAAGACAGAAAACGGCUCUUCAGCUUGAGCCCUCCCCUCCCAUCUCCCUUGUUCCGUCCAUCUCCUCCAUUCCAGCCUGUGCUUGCACUGCCCGUUAGCCUCUGGCUUCACACAAUCUCAGAUGAGGAAAGAUUAGAAAUGCUCUCAAACAGGGAAGACAGCAGUUCCCUUGUCACCCAAAGACCUAGCCCAUCCAUGACAUUCCCCAGCUGAAAUUAUCCCAGUCUCCCAGAUCCCUUCACCUGCGCCCCACUUACCAGUGAUCCCUUCCCUCAAGAAUCUCAUGGUUCCCUGGGGCUCAGCACAUAACCUCGCCAGGCCCCUCACGUGGCAAAGGAUUUCCCCUCCCUCCCCUUUUCCCCUUCCUGCCUGUUUUUGUCACUGGUGUGAGAUUCUUGAGAGCUCCUGCUCCCCAGCCCUGCUGUCAGACCUCCCUGAGCCAGGAGGCUGCGGGCACAGAUCUCAUGGUGCGUUUCCCAGUCCUAGGCCUCUUCUCAUCCGCUUUCCCGCUGAACCCCGAGAGACAAAGAAUAUUACAAGCAAAUAAUGGUUCUAUUAAGCGACACACGGAGACAGAAUUUAUUUUAAGCUUUUCUUUUUUUUCCAAGUUUACAUGACAGCAAGCUGGCCCUCGUGAAUUUUUCAGAACAUAAGGGUUGCUUUUAUAUAUGAAUUUCAUUGAGCUGCAUAUUUUUUUAAUUUGGCGGCUUUUUUAAAACAAAUCAAGAGAGAAACAAUUGGGGACCAAACUUUGAUUUCCAUUUUUUCCCUUCAGAUUUUCUUGUGACCAUUUUUUGUAAAUUUAAGGCAAUAUAGCCACAGCAUUUUCUAUGGCACAGACAUCACGAGGGUGAUAGAUAUAAAUAUAUAUAUUGUUUUCAACAAGCACUGUAAAUAAAAGCGUUUAAAAAUAUUUCA
This 1541-nucleotide long non-coding RNA is filed under the name Lepidothrix coronata (blue-crowned manakin). RNAcentral describes it as "lncRNA (ENSLCOG00000005574.1)". Lineage: Eukaryota; Metazoa; Chordata; Aves; Passeriformes; Pipridae. The record is from RNAcentral.